AUACUUACCUGGCAGGGGAGAUGCCAUGAUCAAGAAGAUGCUUCACCAAGGGUGAGUCUAAGCCAUUGCACUCAGAUUGUGCUAACCCCUGCGAAUUCCCCAAAUGUGGGAAUCUCGACUGCAUAGUUCCUGGGAGUGGGGUUCCUGGUUUGCGCUCUCCCCUG
Small nuclear RNA from Phyllopteryx taeniolatus (common seadragon), 164 nucleotides. RefSeq annotates it as U1 spliceosomal RNA. NCBI's taxonomy places the organism in Eukaryota, Metazoa, Chordata, Actinopteri, Syngnathiformes, Syngnathidae. The record is from RefSeq and is a predicted model, not a curated record. The transcript has a single exon.